UCUCUUUAUUUUUAUAUACAUCAAAUAGCUGGCGUUAAAUAUUGUUAUAAUAACCUGCGUUAAAUGGUAAUUGAAAAGUAGUGAUUUUUUUAGAAUAUGAAUUAUACGGUACUUUUCAGCAAUGUCUCUAUUGCCUGAUGCGGGUAAAAGGGAGGGGCAAACGAGGAUAUUGCUUUUUCUGGUGUUUAAAUCAUCUUUGAAAUAGCAAACGUAUUCUGUCGUAUCUGUAUUUUGCAUGGUAUAUGAAACCCAUAUCUUUCUCAUGUCAUAUUUAUAUUACAUAACUUGUAGAAACCGGCCAUUACUCUGAUGUAGAUAAGCCCGAUGGAACAAAUAAUGUACAGAUUACAAUGUCCGACCACAUAUGUGCAAAGCUCAAAACGUACGAUGAAGAAUCACACAUGACAAACAGUCAGAAUUUUCCAAUAGAAAGAGAAAAGAAAGAAGAAGAAAACAGACGGACAGACCAGGCAAGUUUAUGAGUUAUGUUACGAGUCAAAACUCCAAUUGCCACCUGAACAGAUCCUAUGUGAUGAAAUUCAGGAUGUAAUGACACUUAAGUAAAGUUUUUAUAUAAUUUAUGUAUAUAAUUGUGCUUCUAAAACAAUUUUCAAACAUUGAAGAAAAUGUACAAUAUUAACUGCAAAUAUUUGUUCACAUUAUAUGUAACCAUUAAAAUAUAUGCAUUAAUUUCUUACUGAAAAAUUUGACUCAGACCUUAAAGAAAAUAAUUAUGUUUAUAAUAACCUCCCUUUAUUAACAUAAAAUUCAGUAAUAUCGUUACAAAAAAUACUUUUUGGAACUUACAAUAAUAAUAAUUCUUUAUUUGAGCAUUAUAUUUAUGAUAUAAAACCAUAAAAAAUUGAGUUACAGGAUCUUUAACGUAUUUUGUAGUUACGCUGUGUCGUACAAUUAUUUGCCGCCGUUUCAAUAUACAGAUGUAGUGAUAUAUGAGAUCAGUUAUUGUUGUCAUGUUGAUUAUUAUUAACUUAACUGUGUAAUUUUCAAAAAAGUGAAAAUAGAAAAUGAUAAAAAAGAAAGAAAGAAAAAAAGGACGAAAACUGCAUUUAAUUUUUUCCUAUCUGUUUAAUAGUAUUAUAACUGUUUUUAAACUAUCAUUAUUAUAUGAAUGCAAAUAAACAUCAAUCGUGAUUUUUUAGCUCACCUGUCACAAAGUGACAGGGUGAGCUUUUGUGAUCGCUUUUCGUCCGGCGUCCGUCCGUCGUCCGUCCGUCGUCCGUAAACUUUUACUUUAAAUGAUAUCUCCUCAUAAACCACUAAGCCAAUUUCAUCCAAACUUCACAGGAAUGUUCCUUUGGUGGUCACCUUUAAAAAUUGUUCAAAGAAUUUACUUCCAUGCAGAACUCUGGUUGCCAUGGCAACCGAAAGAAAAAACUUAAAAUAUCUUCUUUUAAAAAACCCAAAGAGCUAAGAUAUUUAACAUGAAACAUGUUCUAAUGAGUGUCUACCAAGUUUGUUCAAAUAAAAGCCCUGGGGUCAAAAUUGGCCCUGCCCCAGGGGGUCAUUGAUUUUCCCUAUAUGCAUAUAGUAAAAACUUAAAAAAUCAUCUUUUAAAGAACUCAAAGAGCUAGAGCUAAGAUAUUUAGCAUCAAACAUGUUCUAACAGGUGUCUACCAAGUUUGUUCAAAUAAAAGCCCUGGGGUCAAAAUUGGCCCCGCCCCAGGGGUGUCAUUGUUUUUAACUAUAUGUGUAUAGUAAAAACUUAAAAAAAAUCUUCUUUUAAAAAGCCCAAUGAGCUAGAGCUUAGAUGUUUAGCAUGAAACAUCUUCUUAUGGGUGUGUGUGUG
Ruditapes philippinarum (Manila clam) is the source of this 1807-nucleotide long non-coding RNA. RefSeq lists it as uncharacterized. The record is from RefSeq and is a predicted model, not a curated record. The transcript has 3 exons. NCBI's taxonomy places the organism in Eukaryota, Metazoa, Mollusca, Bivalvia, Venerida, Veneridae.